Long non-coding RNA from Physeter macrocephalus (sperm whale), 2689 nucleotides. RefSeq lists it as uncharacterized. The record is from RefSeq and is a predicted model, not a curated record. The transcript is spliced from 3 exons. NCBI's taxonomy places the organism in Eukaryota, Metazoa, Chordata, Mammalia, Artiodactyla, Physeteridae.
UUGUCUUUUCUUGAGCCCUUCCCUCAGGCCACCACAGGGUAAAUGUGAGUAGGCAGCCGAGUGGGCUCUGUCUAAUGCUUGGGAAAGAACGGUGAGACACCAGAUGAAGAUAAUGGCUAACUUCUGUGUCAUUUUAUAAAGCAUUCACGUUUUCUACUUUAUCCUCCCCGCAACCCUGAGAGGUUUAUUUCCUUUUUGUAGAUGUUAUAGUGGAGUCCCCAGAGUUUAAGGAGCUUGGGCAGCAAUUUAAACUCAGGUCUGGUCCACAGGAAAGGGCACUGUUUUUCUGGGUCCCUCCAUGGUGUUUGUCUAGAGAGGGGGAGGUUUGGAGUGAGCUGGAGCUCCCCAUCUUGCAGACAGAUGAGGGCUGGACAGAAGCGGGUGCCUGGCUGGGCCCCCUCCACCAGCACCAUUUGCUCUCCACCAAGCGCACACAAGGGAAGAAAGUGAGCGUAACUCCUCUUCAAAGCCUUUGAGACACAACUAAGAUCACAAUGUGUUGCCAUCCUGCCUCCAUGAGUCUAUGCUACAGAAUUUCUAGCACCAGCACGUGGACCUUUAUGACAAGGAAGUUCACUUUGGCAUGGUUUGGAACAGCAAGAAAUUGGAAAAAAUUUACGUGCCUUCACCGGGGAUCAGUUACCUAAGCCGGGCUACCCCUGUGCGGUGGGUUCCGGGAAGCCUCUGAGAAAGGGCACGUGACAUCCUCAGGCCUUUCCAGAACCUUAGGAGUGAUUAAGGAUAUGAAAAUCUGAGCUAUUCCAACAACCACGUCCACGUCCACCUGACCUGUGCCUUCGCAUCCCCAAGGAGCUGGGAGAUGUUAGCUGGCGAGGAGUAAGAUGGAAGAGCAUACCGGAGCUGCAGCAGAACCCCGUCUGCCUGGCUCUGCCUCCUCCCCGCCCUGGGCCAAGUACCCUCCUCUCACUGAGCCUGUUUCCCCAGCUAUAAAGCGAGGAGACUGGACAACAAUCUCUAGAAUCUUCUGACCAUGACCGACUGCCAGUCCACCUUGCCAAAGCUCUUAGCACCCUUGGUACAAGUCCUGGGCUGGGUCAGCCAAGGCAAGCCCUCUCUUGUCUGUGCUUGUGAGUCACUGGCCACCCAGGUUUGGGCUUUAUCCCCCAUCCCACCCCAGCCCUCCAGGCUCUUGCUCGUGACCCUGGCUGGCCACUUCCCCAAACCAGCCUCUGAGUGAGGCCUUGCUGUCUUUCAGAGCUCUUGUGGGAACUGACACAGAAGCUAAGAAGGGAGAGAGCUGUUUGAGGAGUGGAAAGGCUCCCUCCAGGGCCGGGGUGAUUGUCCUUUCUCUCCAGUGUCCAGGAUCUCAGCAGGGUGCCCAGCGUGGACUUCUCCACCAUCCAAAGUGGACAGUGGGAAUGUGACAUCACAAGGGAGGUACAGCCAGGGACACUGGGACAAGAAGGAGCUCCCUGGUGACUGCUUUCCAUGCAUGGUUUCAGUUAUCAUGACAGCCUAUUAUACAGACAGAGAAACUGAGGCCCAGAGAAACCAAGGGCCCUGUCCAAGAUCACAUGGUUAAAAGAGGCAGCGCAGGGAUUUGAACUCCAGCCUGUUUGGGACUUGGAGCACCGGGGAAGGUCCACGCGCUGUGGUCACUACUGCCACAUCCCGCGAAACCCUGGGAGGCUCGCCGACUCUUCAGUGCUCGGUUGUUUAUAAUUCACAGCCCCUGCCCUCUUCCAGAAGUUUAAGUCAGCUUCCCAGAAAGAUGUGUACGUUCAAGGAGAAGCACAAGGCUUUGGAGGCAGCGGGGGGCCCAGCAGGACUGGGGGGUGGGAACGUGCGCCAGCUCCCACCUAGGACUGGGCGGUGAUGGCAUCAUAGAGCCCCUGUGAAGUCACCCAGUUCCUGGGAGGCCCAGCUAUUAGCAGAUUCCAGCUUUAAUGAGAACCCCCAAGGUCGAGGUGCUGUGCUGAAGUGAAAGUCCUUUCCUCCCUAGGCCUUGGGUUGUCCCCACAAUGUCACUGCCCCAGUCCUUGCCCAGCAUUCAGUUCAUCUGGAGUCACCCCCUUAGCAAGCCUUUCCUUUCCCACUUAUGGGUCCCUGUGAAACAAUGAAAAGAGAGAGGGCUGGGCUUGGUGUCAGAGACACGUGGGGAUUGAGUCCAUCCCACGUGGGCACGUGACCUGGCCAAGGGACGUUACUGCUGAGCGGCAGCUUCCUCAUAGCUGAAUCUGAACCAAGGUGGUGGUGUCAUCCCAGCAUUCGUUCCCCCUUCUCCUGCCAACAGCACCCCAGUACCCUCUGGAAGUUUCCCCUCCCUCACCCCUAGUCCCUAUGGGACCCCAGCCUUAACUAUUUCACCUUAUCUCCCGGCCACAGUGACUGAUGUCAGGAAUAGCCACAGGACUCAAGCCAGACCAAGCAGAGCCAGGUCUGGGACCUUUGUUGGAAGUAUUGGGAAAGUGGCAGGGGAUGGAGGGAUGCACCCUCCUGGGGCAGCUAAGCUGGUGUUUCAGCUGGCCAGCUUACCACCUUGAGCCGGACCUGCCUGAGAAUGUAUCCAGCCGGGGGAGAGCAGAUAGGGUGAGACAAUGACUCCUGAUGACAUUGCUUGGGCAUCAUGAUCUAGCCGUACCUGAAGCUGUUAUGCUCGAGGCUUGUCAGUAACUUAAGCUUAGUUCGAUCAUUUAUGGAGCUAAGGAGCCAGAGAUAGCUAAUUUCC